Molecule: long non-coding RNA, 4948 nt
Filed under: Apis mellifera (honey bee)
Lineage: Eukaryota; Metazoa; Arthropoda; Insecta; Hymenoptera; Apidae
Description: uncharacterized LOC100577307, transcript variant X2
Source: RNAcentral
GAUCGACUUGAAGCUUUGUAGUUCAUAACGCGCAAACGGCCCACAGGUGCAUCGGUACGUAUGUUGUAUACAUGCCAGACCAAGUGUAAUCGCCUCUUAUUUCGUGCGAAAACAGAAGAUGAAAGGAUAUGGAAAGUAUAUACGAUACAAUAUACUUCUUGAGAUGGAACAAGAAUUUCACACGGCUUCUUCGAACAAUAUCAAAGAAUUAGAAAGGAGAAGAAGGGUCAUAAAUAGAGAAAAGGAGAGAAAUGGACAAAAGUUUGAUCAAUCUUGGAAAAAUUCAUAGAAUUUCAUCUUGAAGACCCUUGGACGAUUGUAAUGAAGAUCAUUGUAGUAGAACAAUGAAGAAAGAAUCUUAUGGUGAAUAUUGGAAGAUUUAUAAGAUGCCAAGAUAAUUUGUUGUUAAGGGAAUGAAAAGAAAGAAAAUAAAGGAUAAGUCCGAAAUAUGCUACCACAAAUCAAGAAAUUUAAUUUUAGAAAAACAACAAUUUAUUCUUCUUGUUUCUGCACUUAAAAGUAAUAAUUGCCCUGCAUAAUUUAAUAUAUUUCAAUUAAAUUGAAUUUUUAUCGUUAACAACUUAAAUCGAUAAAAUCACAUAAUUUAAUAAAAAUUUCGUGUAAAUUAAAUGUUUUAAUGAGAUAAAACGUACAAUUUGAAAUUCAUCGAUUCGGUUAAACUAAACUUUGCUAGGUGCAAAUUUCUACCUGGACGUGUCAUAAAUAAGGGAUUUUAAAGAUUCCAACGGUUUAAGAGAAAGUAAAAGAACAAACUUUUGAAGAAAUUGCUUGAUCACCCACCGCUAUUGAAAAUACUUGCCCCUCUUCUGGGCAAGGCUAGGUAAAAAAAGAGCCUCAAAUUCCAUUGGCAAUUUAAAUUGAUAUAUUCGAAAAAUUGGCCAAUCAACGCGCUUUAACAAAAUAUAAGGUCAACCUGAUAUAAUAUAAGAUAAACCCGAGCGAGGUGUCGAACAAAAGCAAAUCAACAAUCGAAGGAAUCACUUCAAAUCGGAGAUUAGCAUCGCUCGAGAAUUAUUCGAAUGGUUCUUCAUCAUCGAUAGAUACACAAAUUUUACUUUGCAAGAAUGUACAGAUUCUACUGAAAAAUUGACAAGCAAAAGUUGAGUUCAAUUUGUUCAGAACGGACGAAACGUGCUAUGGAUUGCAAGCUUGAACCACCAUCGUCCAUAUUCGUUAAGCAUAAUAUUCUAAUAAUGAGGAAAAAAUGGAAAAAACAAUGAUCUCUAAAAAUUAUAUUGGAGAUGUGUAUAAAGAAUCUUAUCUUUACUGAGACGGGUGCCACGACAAAAGAAAAAUUUUAUUAGAAAUAAGAAUGAUUAACCUACAUUUUCAAAAUGAUUGUAGGUGAAGCAAAAGAAAAUAAAUUAUAUAUUAAUAAUUCUCUACCUCCGUGUUAUCAUCAUUAUUUAAUUAAUCGUAGACAUCUUUAAAGAACUACCACUUCAUACGCGAAGAUCACGCCACGACAAAAGUGAUGAUCUUGUGACAAUGCAUUUUCAAAAUGAGUGUAAUUCAAGCAAAGGAAAAUAAAGAUUUUCUACCUCCGUAUUAUCAUCAUUAUUUAAUUAAUCGCAUAUCUGAGAAUGUAAGAUGAAAAUUACGCUAUGAUAAAAGAAUAAUUUUACGGAAUAAUUAUUAUGAUCAAUCUCACAUUUUCAAAAUGAUCGUAAUUCAAGCGAAAGAAAAUUAAGAUUUUCAUCAUGUUUAUAAUGCUAUAAUAAAAUAAUUAUUUAAUUAAUCACGUGAUAACAUCUUUAUUGCAAAGAAUUGCCAUCUCAUUCGGGAAGAGUGAGAAAAAUGAAGAAAAUUGCCACGAUACUAGUAUGAUCAAUCUAAAAGUUUAAAGAUGAGAUCGAAAAUCUACCAUCACUCUAUCAUCAUUCGUUGCCAUCAACUAUCAUCUAUCCUAGUUUAAAUCGAAGAUUAAAUCAAGUCUUAAUUCCUGUGACUUUACUUUAUUCGAGAAUAAUUUUUUACUCGAUAAAUUAUUAUUUUGCGAAGUAAAUUCUUAAUUUCUAAUUCUUAUUUAAAAUGGAUCAAAAAAGAAUUGGAAAUAAUUGAAAUUUAUAUAAGAAGAUAUGAAAAAAGAAUUCGCAUCGCAAGGGUUGUAUGUUAAUUAAAUAACGUAUGUUAAUUGAAUAAUCCAUGUCACAAAUUAUUAAGAGAUCGAUGAAUAUCUUUGAUUAAGAUCGAGACAUGGAUAUGAAUCUAUAAAUCUUAAAUAUAUGUAUUUAUAAAUAAAUCUUGAUUAUUUAGAUUGUUCUCAAUCAAGAUUAACACGAAUUGUUUGAAUUGAAUCAAAAAGAAGAAUGUUCUACAGAAAUUUGAUCAGCGUAAAUUCAACAUCUCGCCCAAAAUAUACAGAAUUGCAAACUCAAAUACACAAAAGAUACACAAGCUUCAUCCUGAUUCAUCGCUUCGUUUUGUAUGAUUCUAAUUAUGUAUAAGGGAGAGAUUUCAUUUUCAUCGACAAUCUUGACUACAUUUAAAAAUGAUUGCAGUUCAUACGUUUUACAAAUGUUUGAUCAUAGUUAAUAAAUUAAAAUAAUAAUUCUAUAAAAUUAAUGCAAUUUUAUUAAAUAUUCAGAUUUUACGAACAACAACUGAAUAAUAGUAAUUCAACAAUCAACCAGAAAGAUGCCACAGAUUGGAUAUGUAAAGCCAUCUUCUUUACGAUUUCUAUUAUAGAAAUUUUACUAUUAUAGAAAAUGAAUAUCUAAUUUUAUCACGAGUGACAAGUGAAAAUCUUGAUCAUAAUGGGACGAUUUUCUAUCAACAGAUCAACUUAAAUAACAUUUAAAAUGUUUGUACAUUGUAAAAUAAAAAGAAGAAUAUACGGUUUGCAUAUUUGGGUUUUUGAGAAAAGAUUGGACAAUAAAUAUUUAACUUGAACAAAAUGUGAUAUAAUAGACAAUAUAAUGAUACAGUUAAAUCGUGAACUCGACAAAGAGUUUGCGACUUCAUUCUACAUAAGGAUAAUGUUCUAAAUAACAGAUAAUCAUUUUAUCUGUAUAAAUAAAAAUCUCUAUCACAAAGAAGAUUUUCACUGUAAUCAGUAAUCAUUUGAACAUGGCAUAUUUUGUGUUAGAAAAUUAAAGGAAGAAUAUUAAUGACAAUUAAUUUGUCCAUAUUAUCACAAAUUUCAAUUAUUCAGAAACAAACACAGAAGAUUCAAUUAUUUGUCAAAAAAAUAAUAUGGACGGUUUGUGAUUGCAAAUUUUAAUCAUCAAGAUCCUUGGACGAUUUUAUAAGGAUGAUUUUUUUUACAAUAUUUAAAGUCAUCCUUUAAUUUAAUUAACAUGUUUCCAAUUUGAUUAAUUUAAAUUUCUAUUUUUCGCAAAACACGUACCGAGUGAAAACCUCAUAAAAGAUUUUAUGGAUAUCUUGACUACAUUUAAAAAUGAUUGUAAUUCAGAUUGGAAGAAUGGCAUUGAAUACCUUUGAAAUAUGAAUAUAUAAAUCAUCUUAUAAUAAUAGCCUGAAUUGAAAUUUAUAUGAACUUUCUAAUUUUAUUGAAUAUUCAGAUUCUGAAAAAAGAUUGAUUGGAUUUUUAAGCAAAAUUAAACAAUCUGUUCGAAAUGUGUCAUGGGCAAGACGUGCAACGCAUGGCAAAUUUAUAUUAUUAACUGCAUGGAGUUACAUACAUUUCAUUAUUACGACUUCAUUAUGUAGAACAAUUACGAAUCCAUAAAGAAAUUUACGAUGAAUAAAAAUCAUGUUAUUCAUUUCCAUGGAUCGGUAUAAAAUCUUAAUAGUUUUUACAAAAGCAAAUGUUCCAAUGAACAUACACGACUGAGAAUGUUAUAAUUGAUUAAAAUUGACAUCCCCAAAUUAGAAUCUGAGCUAUCAAUGUGCCAAACAUCAGGGGAAGCUACGGAAAAACUUGAUAAUAACAAAAAACAUUUUUCCAUAAAAAAAAAGCACAUUUUGAUAUUCUUCUAUAAAAGGACCAUUAUAUAUGGAUAUUAAUAUUUCUAUAGAUUUUCUUAUUUGGAUAUUCAACAUUUUUCUACAAAAUCAUUAAAUAUCGUGAUAUAUGAUAUGAUGAUAUAUCUUGUAUGGUUACGACAUGCUUUCAUCAUUGAAAUGUGUAAUUGAUUAAAAAAUCAAUUCACAAUUCCCAAAUUAAAAUCCAUUGUAAAAUCUUAAUGAAGAAUAUUGUUCAACAACUAUAACAAGAUAGUUACGACAUCAAUUCUUCUAAAAAAGGAGGAUUAGAUAUGAAUAUUAAUAUUUCUAUGAACCUAUCAGUUUGGAUAUCCAAACUUUCUGUAUAAAAAGUACCAGAUAUAAAUAUGGAUAUGAAUAUCCUGCAUAGCAACGAUUGUGAAGAUUUCAUUGUUGAAAUUUGCUGUCACAAUUGAUUAAAAAAUCGGUUGACAUUCCCAAAUUAUAAUCUACAUUAUCAGUGGGCUAUUAUCAAAAUUGUUAAUGCAAAACAUUUUUUCAACAAUUUACAGUAUCAAUGUGCUAUUGUGGAAAUCAUUAAUGCAAAACAUUUUUCCAACAAAAAAAAGAAAAAACAAUUUGAAUAUCCAAAGUAUCAAUUCUUCUAUACAAGGAUCAUUAGAUAGAUGAAUAUUAUCUCUAUAAAUCAGUUUGGGUAUUCAACAGCUUUUUGUAUAAAAAGUAUUAGAUAUAUGAAUGAAUAUGCAGCAUAGAAAUGAUUGUGAAGUUUUUAUCAUUGGAAUUUGCUAUCGUACAAUUGAUUAAAAAAUCGAUUGACGAUCCCCAAAUUAUAAUCUAUACUAUCAGUGCACCAAAAUUAGGCACUAUUAUUGAAAUUAUCAAUAAAAUAUUUUUCUAACGAAAGAAAGAGAAAACAAUUUGAACAUCCAAAGUCAAUUCUUCUAUAAAAAGAGCAUUGGAUAUUAAUAUAUAAUUUAAUUUUAAAAUAUAUACUUUUUAUAUACAUUUUACUUUCAAA